UGGGGAAUAUUGCACAAUGGGCGCAAGCCUGAUGCAGCCAUGCCGCGUGUAUGAAGAAGGCCUUCGGGUUGUAAAGUACUUUCAGCGGGGAGGAAGGGAGUAAAGUUAAUACCUUUGCUCAUUGACGUUACCCGCAGAAGAAGCACCGGCUAACUCCGUGCCAGCAGCCGCGGUAAUACGGAGGGUGCAAGCGUUAAUCGGAAUUACUGGGCGUAAAGCGCACGCAGGCGGUUUGUUAAGUCAGAUGUGAAAUCCCCGGGCUCAACCUGGGAACUGCAUCUGAUACUGGCAAGCUUGGGUCUCGUAGAGGGGGGUAGAAUUCCAGGUGUAGCGGUUAAAUGCGUAGAGAUCUGGAGGAAUACCGGUGGCGAAGGCGGCCCCCUGGACAAAGACUGACGCUAAGGUGCGAAAGCGUGGGGAGCAAACAGG
RNAcentral lists this ribosomal RNA (429 nucleotides) under Chloroflexota bacterium. Its description in RNAcentral is "Chloroflexi bacterium partial 16S ribosomal RNA". It matches the Rfam family "Bacterial small subunit ribosomal RNA", at positions 355 to 776 of the family's 1533-position model. The record is from RNAcentral. Lineage: Bacteria; Bacillati; Chloroflexota.